GACGAACGCUGGCGGCGUGCUUAACACAUGCAAGUCGAACGGAAAGGCCCUGCUUUUGUGGGGUGCUCGAGUGGCGAACGGGUGAGUAACACGUGAGUAACCUGCCCUUGACUUUGGGAUAACUUCAGGAAACUGGGGCUAAUACCGGAUAGGAGCUCCUGCUGCAUGGUGGGGGUUGGAAAUUUUCGGCGGUUGGGGAUGGACUCGCGGCUUAUCAGCUUGUUGGUGGGGUAGUGGCUUACCAAGGCUUUGACGGGUAGCCGGCCUGAGAGGGUGACCGGCCACAUUGGGACUGAGAUACGGCCCAGACUCCUACGGGAGGCAGCAGUGGGGAAUAUUGCACAAUGGGCGGAAGCCUGAUGCAGCAACGCCGCGUGCGGGAUGACGGCCUUCGGGCUGUAAACCGCUUUCGCCUGUGACGAAGCGUGAGUGACGGUAAUGGGUAAAGAAGCACCGGCUAACUACGUG
RNAcentral lists this ribosomal RNA (468 nucleotides) under uncultured bacterium. Its description in RNAcentral is "partial 16S ribosomal RNA". It matches the Rfam family "Bacterial small subunit ribosomal RNA", at positions 28 to 507 of the family's 1533-position model. The record is from RNAcentral.